CCUACGGGCGGCAGCAGUGGGGAAUAUUGCGCAAUGGGCGAAAGCCUGACGCAGCGACGCCGCGUGAGGGAUGAAGGUCUUCGGAUCGUAAACCUCUGUCAGCAGGGAAGAACGGUCACUGUGCUAAUCAGCAGUGAAUUGACGGUACCUGCAAAGGAAGCACCGGCAAACUCCGUGCCAGGAGCCGCGGUCAUACGGAGGGUGCGAGCGUUAAGCGGAAUUACUGGGCGUAAAGCGCUCGUAGGCGGGAUGGCAAGUCAAGGGUGAAAUCCCCGGGCUCAACGUGGGAACUGCCUUUGAAACUGGCAAACUGGAGUGUGUGAGAGGAUAGUGGAAUUCCAGGUGUAGGAGUGAAAUCCGUAGAUAUCUGGAGGAACAUCAGUGGCGAAGGCGACUAUCUGGCACAUAACUGACGCUGAGGAGCGAAAGCGUGGGGAGCAAACAGGAUUAGAUACCCGGGUAGUC
Molecule: ribosomal RNA, 465 nt
Filed under: uncultured bacterium
Lineage: Bacteria
Description: partial 16S ribosomal RNA
Rfam family: Bacterial small subunit ribosomal RNA
Source: RNAcentral